Molecule: ribosomal RNA, 294 nt
Filed under: uncultured bacterium
Lineage: Bacteria
Description: partial 16S ribosomal RNA
Rfam family: Bacterial small subunit ribosomal RNA
Source: RNAcentral
AUUGAACGCUGGCGGCAUGCUUUAUACAUGCAAGUCGUGCGGCAGCGCGGGGGCAACUCUGGCGGCGAGCGGCGAACGGGUGAGUAAUACAUAGGAACGUAUCCUGAAAUGGGGGAUAGCUCGGCGAAAGCCGGAUUAAUACCGCAUACGCUCCACGGAGAAAGCAGGGGAUCGCAAGACCUUGCGUUUCUGGAGCGGCCUAUGUCUGAUUAGCUAGNGGCGGGGUAAUAGCCCACCAAGGCGACGAUCAGUAGCUGGUCUGAGAGAUGAUCAGCCACACUGGGACUGAGACAC